AUCUGGGAGGCCACAAACCAUGGAAGCUGUACGCAUGGUGUAGUGGACUAGCGGUUAGAGGAGACCCCUCCCUUGCAAAUCGCAGCAACAAUGGGGGCCCAAGGUGAGAUGAAGCUGUAGUCUCACUGGAAGGACUAGAGG
Molecule: long non-coding RNA, 141 nt
Filed under: dengue virus type 2
Lineage: Riboviria; Orthornavirae; Kitrinoviricota; Flasuviricetes; Amarillovirales; Flaviviridae
Description: Dengue virus type 2 partial sfRNA3
Rfam family: Flavivirus DB element (bases 6-77)
About the family: These DB elements are thought to be required for efficient translation.
Source: RNAcentral